CAGGGCUUUCGUCUUGUAAUUGGAAUGAUGGUGAUGUACAACCUCACCAGAGUACCAAUUGGAGGGCAAGUCUGGUGCCAGCAGCCGCGGUAAUUCCAGCUCCAAUAGCGUAUAUUAAACUUGUUGCAGUUAAAAAGCUCGUAGUUGUAUUUCAGCCUCGCGUUUUUUCCCUCUUUUCGGGUCUUUUCGCUGGCUUUGUUUUUACUUUGAGAAAAUUAGAGUGUUUCAAGCAGACUUUUGUCUUGAAUACUUCAGCAUGGAAUAAUAGAGUAGGACCUUGGUUCUAUUUUGUUGGUUUCUAGAGUCGCCGUAAUGAUUAAUAGGGAUGGUUGGGGGCAUUAGUAUUCCGUUGCUAGAGGUGAAAUUCUUGGAUUUACGGAAGACUAACUACUGCGAAAGCAUUUGCCAAGGAUGUCUUCAUUAAUCAAGAAC
Molecule: ribosomal RNA, 432 nt
Filed under: Babesia bigemina
Lineage: Eukaryota; Apicomplexa; Aconoidasida; Piroplasmida; Babesiidae
Description: SSU rRNA
Rfam family: Eukaryotic small subunit ribosomal RNA
Source: RNAcentral